Ictidomys tridecemlineatus (thirteen-lined ground squirrel) is the source of this 6304-nucleotide non-coding RNA. NCBI's taxonomy places the organism in Eukaryota, Metazoa, Chordata, Mammalia, Rodentia, Sciuridae. The record is from RefSeq and is a predicted model, not a curated record.
CAAUGGCCAAGUGCCCCUGGGUUCAAUGCCUGGUACCCUCAAAAAUAAAAUAAGAUAAAAUAAAAAGGGCUGUGCAUGUAGCUCAGUGAUAGCGUCCCUGUGUUCAUUCCCCAAUUCCAAAAAGAUAAAAUAUCUUCUUUUAUUUUUUUUUCUUUGCACCACUUAUGAUCAGUAGAAAUGCAUUUCUAAGCAAGUUUUUAUGGGAUCUAAAACAAUUAGACUCACAAACACACACACACACACACACACUCACACACAAAAACAAACACACAGACAAGCACACACCAUAUCCCCUGGAGAAAACUAACUUGACACUUAUCCUUGUUCUAAAGAGUAAACACUUGUUUUAAACAGUUCAGAGUGUUAUUUUAAAAUAGCAUAGACUGAGUGGCUUAGACAAGAUUUUCAUUGCUCACAGUUCUGGAGGCUGGUGACUCCAAGUUCAGGGUGCUACAAAACUGGCUCUUAGUGAGGGCUCUCAUCCUGGACAGCAGAUGCUGCUUUCUCCUGCAUGCUCUUAUGGCAGGGAGAGGAAGCGUAGGGUCUCUUCCCCUUUUAUGAGGACACUAGACCCUUCAAGGGACAUGCAUGCUGAAUCUCCUGAAACUGAUUACUCCCCACAUGCCCCACUUCCUAAGACCAUCACAACGGGAGCUACAGUUUCAACAUGUGAGUUUGAGCAGGAGAGACCGCAACAUACCUCACAUGACAUGAAAGGUGGGAAAAUGUUACUUGGCACUUAGCACCCUGAGGUGACCAGAUCAUCCCCAAAAGACUGAAUUUUGCUCUACUCCUGUCUGAAGAUAUGCCGUGACCUUUGUACACAAAAUGAUCCCUUAACCUCUUUGUUGCUUCUUCUCACACAGAAUAAGUCAUGCUUAGUAUUCCUGCUGAUGGCAGCUUUUCCUCUUAAAUACAAGCUCGCAAUGCCCAGUUUGCAAGUAAAAUGUUUAUUUUUCUUUUUUUUUCCUAAGUGCUUCUAACUCUGUGCUCUCAUCUGAUGAUGCAGUGUUUUGGCACAGCCUUACCUGGGCAAGUGGGAUAGAAUAUCGGCUCCUUCAUGGCUGGUCAAUUUCCAUAUGGAAGUUUGUAAGAGUAUGUUGUUCCUGAAGAGGUGAAAUUGCAUUCCUGGGAGCAAUGGCAGGAGCACAUCCGCCCUCCCUCUCCUCUCUCUCCCUCUCCUUCUCUAUCUCUCUAUCUCUCUAUCUCUAUCUCUAUCUCUUACUGUCUCUGUCUCCAGGGUAAGUAAAGAAGCCUAGCAGACCCUUUACCCCAAACAUUUGACUUCCAUGAGUUCAACAUGAAAGGGGAAGUCGGGGACUAGAAAGAGAACCGUUAUCUCUAACACAGUGCCGCGUUCACCUCUGGGCUCACUUCUUUGUAAUUGUCCCCUCCAUGGUCCCCAAGCUCCAUGGGGUAGCCACCGACUCCACUUCACCCUCACUAAUACCCAGGACCCACAUCAGUGCCCGGCACUUGAUAAUUAUGCGCUGACGCAAACCCUGAGGUUUUAUUGAGAUUAGUAGUACCGGUGACUCACAUCAGUACGUUCAAGAUAGAAAAGGUCAUCUUUAUUUUCUACCUCUGAUACUAUUUCUGAGGAGAGAAUUGGCAACUUCCAAGAAGAGUUUUUAAAUGCUUCAUGAUUAAACCAACGCUCCACAUUAAAACUUCUCCCAACAAAACAGACCCAAACAUGGACCCAAAGGCAUGAAGAUGCUUCCAGGAUGGUUUAACGGUUUUUCUAUAAAAAAAAACUAAUACCGUGAGUUAAAGUUCAAGGCAAUGGUGGGGUAUGCAUAUGACCAGCUCUUACAUUCCCAUUAAAAUUGUUCCACUUAAGAGGCUUAAUGAAGUAAGUGCUGAUAGCGUAAUGCUGACCGAGGAAACAAAGUGGCACAUAGGGUGUCAGCAAUGAGGUCAUCGCUCCAAAAAGAAACCAACCCUCCACGCUCAGCAGCCUUUUAGAGAGACUUAGGAGAUUGAUAUUUUCUUUAUACUUUUCUCUAUUGUUCAAAUUUUCUUGUUUAUUUUUUUUAAGUCAUAAAAUUGUUAUUGACAUUUUAAACUCCCAUUUGAGAGGGUACAGAGCAAGGGACACAAACGUCCCGGUAAUUGCAGAACCAUUAAUUGUCAGAACCAGAAUUAGCAUGGGGAUAUGGCCACACAACCUGGAUGAUGAUGAGAAAAUGAUGCCAUCCAAGCUGCUGCUUAUAAUGUCCCUCCCUCCCCCCUCCCUUCCUUCUUUCCCUCUCUCUUUUUUCUUUAGCCUUACCUCUUCUUUAAAUGAACUUUUUUGAGGUUUGAUUCACCACUCCAGCCUUUUUGAGAUCUUGUGAAGAAUUCUAAUUCCUCACUCCAAAAAUAUCAGUGUCUCUCCAUGGUCAUCUGCAAAUACAAUGAACCUGUGUCUCAAAGCUCACUGUGCACAUGGGACCAUUGCCCCAGGAAGCCAACAUUCCUUACACGUACUUCUCUAGAGAGUCAACCAGAGUUUCUUUAGAACAUCGACAAGUCUUCAAGUAUGUUUCAAAAAAAAAAAAUUCUGUGUAGAAUAUGUCUGAAAUGCUUGAAAACCUCAGUGAAUUCCAUUUGUUUAAACCAGUGCAUUGUUUACAGAAGGGAUGUGAUCCUGAAUUCUUAACAAACUUCCUCCAACUUCAUCCCCCACACACAUAUACGCUCCUGUCUCUGAAUGGAGACAUGGAUAUCAUCCUUCUUGACCAUGAACGCUACAUGUUUCCCUUUAUGCCUUAGCUGCUAGGAAGCCCAACACUAAGCUUGAUAGUUAAUUAAUGAAUAAUCCUCAGCCUCAAUUUAAAAAUUAAAUAGAUGUCACCAUUUGGAUUUCAUUUGUCCCUUUUAUUCUAUGCAGUUGAUUUGGCUCUUAGGGUUUUAUUAUAAGAUAUUGUACUUCUUCUUGCCUUUUUGGUCUUCAUCCAAGGCAUUGAUGAGUGAGUGAGAACGCUCCCCACUCCCCAGUCUCAAGCGUGCUCCUCCUCUGAGUUCUUCUCAGUGGGAUAAAGUGCCAACGCUGAGAGCUUCUGAUGCAGCCAGCGGUCUCUUCCCUGGGCACCUAGGCUGCCUCUGCUGCUGUGCAAUCGCUUGCUACUUCAAGAUUGGGUGGGUCAACUCCAGGUCUCUUCUUACCCAGCAAAUGGCAGGCCUCAGGAAGGUGACAUCCUCGGAUAGGUCACUUUUGUGGUUCCGGAAUUACCUCCAAAGACUUGGUCAACACCUGUGCAGGGAUCCCUUCCCAACCCAGAAAGUGCUGAGGUGUCUAACUUAGAGACUGAUUAUCUUACAGGAUAUUUGCUGGGUGUCCUAACCCCUGCAAGAGAUGGUACACACCCCUGUCUCACUACCCACAGGCAAUCUAGAAAACUGGUCACCUUUCCAGGGAGAGACAGAGCUGUCCUCGUCCUCAGCAGGGGGAACUUCCGUCUGCUACUGUCUUCUCUGUUGGCCUUCCUGUGAGUGUCUCCAGAAGGUUGUCUUCACUGGGUUAAGACAGUAAGUAUUAAAGAAAGAAAACUUCCACAUGAUCCAACACCUUCCUAAAAUUGUUCCACUUCAGAACCUCCCUCCAAGGUAGUGCACCUGCACGUCUUCAAGAACACAGUGGAACCGUCGCCUGUUCAACUCUUAACCGUGGAAUUCAUUUUUCAUGACAUCCAAACCAAGUAAGUCUUUGAAAAUCAGCCAUUAUUUUAGGAAAUGCUGGUAUCUGCUGUUGUAGAAGAGAUGACACCAUCUCACGUGACCAGCCUUUGAGAACUCUGCAAUCUUUGUGUCAUUGGAACCUGGCACACUGGUUAUCUUAGCUUGUAGCCAUCUAAAGAAUGUAAAUAAAUUUUAGGAAAAGCAAGAAACAGAUUUGGUUUCUAGGGAGAAAUAUUAUCAAAAGGAGAUCCAGAUUAUCAGAGAUCAAAUGCUGCAGUUGACAUAAUACCUGAUGUCAACUGCAUCACAGUCUCACUUCAUGAUCCUUUAAACAAACCCCACAAGCAGCCACUUUUAGCAAUGAAGGACUGAGUUUACACAGCCAGAAAACACAACCACAGCAGAAAAAGAGGAGCGACAGAAUUUGCAACAACUCCUUGGCUUUUAUCCCUUGGCUUCUAGACUUUUGUACAAUCCAUCCAUUUUUCUUUUUGGUGGAAAAGUAGCUACUUGAUCUACACUCUCCAGAAACAGCCAUCGUGUUCUGAGCAGCAAGAAUCUUGCGAUUUCCUCUUUUUCUAAGAGCAUCCUUAAGCUCUCUAUUCCACAUGCUGUAGAUCAAGGGGUUCAGCCUGGGGUGAUGAAUGUGUAAACCAGACACUACAGACCCCUCUCAGGAGAGUAGCUGGAACCGGGACAAAAGCUGAGACGACUUGUACAUCCAAACUGGAGGAGGAGCAGAGUCAGGCAGGAGGAACGGGUGGAGGCCUUGUGUCUCCCUCUGUAGAGUGGAUCUUCAGGAGGGCAGCCACGAUGAAGACAUAGGACCAAGUGACGAGCAGGAAGAGAUGGUGACAUUGGUGACACUGAUCAUAUAAUUUGCUUGAUAACUUAAUGCUUACAAAGUUCCAUUUAUAUUUCAUGUUAAUUUUAUAAUACUGUAAUGAAUACAUUGGGCAGUGAUUGAUAAUUGAUAUUAAUAAUUAAUAAUUCUUCAGAUGACGAAACCACAAUUCACAGAAGUAAAUCAGUUUGUCCAUGUUUGCACAGCUGGUGGGUAGCUAAUCUGGAAUUUGAAACCAAGCCUUUGGCUUUAUAUUUCAUCCUUCUCCACCAAUAUGGAUGACCAGCAAGAAGAGACCUUGGGUGUCCGCCAGGGCCUACCUAAUGCUGAGUUACAGCCUGCCUGAUGCCUUUUGUUUAAACAGUUUUGAUAAAUAUCUACCUCCUAUAAACUAGUUAGCCAGUAUGUUAUUUCCUUCACAUAGCUAAUGACACUGAGAGUCAUUCCAUCAGGCUCAAAUGAUAAUUUUAUUUAUGAGUAAAUUGAAUCAGUACAUAAUGACAUUAUUUUGCAUUGUUCAAGUAUAAUUCUAUUAUGAUUCCAUUAUGAGUUGGAGCAUGCUAAUGGAUGUGUAAUGGAAUAAUAAAAACCAAUCCUGUCCAAAUCUUUUACAGUAAGUGUAAAAUAACAUGACUAAUUAUUUUUACAAAAUAUUUGUAUUCCAAUUCUCAGAUGGAAACUAUAAUCAGGAACUUUCUCUACUUUGAUUCCUAUGAAAUGCCUCUUGGGUAAAAUAAUGUUUGUUGAGCAAUUCUGAAAAACAUGCUGUCUAAUUAGGUGCUCAUGGUUUAGAUGUAUUACUUAAUAUCUCUUUAGAAUAUCAAAGAAUGUUAUCCUUUUGUUGAUUGUGAUGGGCCAUGAGAACUGCUUGAAGUGGCUCGCAUAUCAAUGUCACACCAUCAGCCUAGAUUGAAUUCGCCCCCCAAAAAUUCCUCUCAUAUUUACUGUGCUUUGUGGUGAUUAAGGUCACAGGCUCUAGGGUGCCAUGUCUGCACCAGCACUUCAGUAGAUAGGUAAUGUCGCAAAAUUAUUUAACCACUCUGAGCUUCAAUUCUUUGUGUCUAAAUUGAUGAUAACGAUGGCACCAACCCCAUAAGAUUUUGUGGUUAGCAAGUGAGAUACCAUAUACUAAGCUGCUAAAACAAUGUCUGGUACAUAAUUUAAUGCUUAACUAAUGAUAUCUAGUAUCAUUAUAAUUGUCAGUGUGUCAAUACAUAUGCUGUAUCCUCUUUUGAAAAUUAUAGGAAAAAAUCCUUUUAAAUAUAAGCCCUAGCCAAGAAAAAUGUUAGAUUUCUCCAUGUGGUUGUGUAUGGUUACAUGAACUCUGUACUAUGCAAAUUUAAUUAUAUUGCCCUUGACUACUAGGAAGCUCAGACACCAGCAGACAGGUGAUUUCUACAAAACUGCAGAGAAGCUUUUUUUAAUCAUUAUUUUUAGUUGUAGAUGGGCAUAAUACCUUUUUUUAUUUAUUUUUAGUUGGUGCUGAGGAUUGAACCCACUGCCUCACAUAUAGGAAGCAAGCGCUAUACUACUGAGCUACAACCCCAUCCUGAGAAGCAUUUUUUGCAUAGCAAUCUUAUUAUUGUAUCUUUAUAGUCCUGUCUGAAUUUUUUUAUUUACCCCAAUCUUCUUGACUCUGUGUUUUUAACUUUUGUACUAGAUGUAUUUUUAAGUUGCUUCAAAUCUUCUGUGUAAGGAUAUGGGGUUAGAGUAAAUUAAAACAAAUAAUUUAUUAACUUCAUCAAAUACCAUUGCUACCAAUAAAAUCUUUACUGCAUAGUAACACUAAUGAAAAUA